AUUGAACGCUGGCGGCAUGCUUUACACAUGCAAGUCGAACGGUAACAGGUUAAGCUGACGAGUGGCGAACGGGUGAGUAAUGCAUCGGAACGUGCCCGGUCGUGGGGGAUAACGCAGCGAAAGCUGCGCUAAUACCGCAUACGAUCUGAGGAUGAAAGCGGGGGACCGUAAGGCCUCGCGCGAUCGGAGCGGCCGAUGUCAGAUUAGGUAGUUGGUGGGGUAAAGGCUCACCAAGCCAACGAUCUGUAGCUGGUCUGAGAGGACGACCAGCCACACGGGGACUGGGACACGGCCCAGACUCCUACGGGAGGCAGCAGUGGGGAAUUUUGGACAAUGGGCGAAAGCCUGAUUCAGCAAGGCCGCGUGCAGGAAGAAGGCCUUCGGGUUGUAAACUGCUUUUGUACGGAGCGAAAAGGUCUCCUCUAAUACAGGGGGCUCAUGACGGUACCGUAAGAAUAAGCACCGGCUAACUACGUGCCAGCAGCCGCCGUAA
RNAcentral lists this ribosomal RNA (493 nucleotides) under uncultured bacterium. RNAcentral's name for it is "partial 16S ribosomal RNA". It matches the Rfam family "Bacterial small subunit ribosomal RNA", at positions 29 to 523 of the family's 1533-position model. The record is from RNAcentral.